RNAcentral lists this unclassified non-coding RNA (464 nucleotides) under Hevea brasiliensis (rubber tree). The record is from RNAcentral. Lineage: Eukaryota; Viridiplantae; Streptophyta; Magnoliopsida; Malpighiales; Euphorbiaceae.
GUCACAGCGCCAGCAAUCAUCAAUAGGAUUACCAGUUCCACAUGAGAAAUAGCCAAGCCUCCUCCUUUCAGUACUGUUGCGUAUGCUCAUUUCGACCAUGGCAACCACCUCUUCUGGGUCAUCAACUGCGUGCUCAUUUUUCCAGGCCUCAAUAUCUUCUCCAGAACUUGCAGCCAUUGAUGAAUUCUUGGAACUCUGCAACUUCUCUGUUUCCUCAUUCCUGGAAAGACCAGAUAUCCCGUCGUUCCGAACAGUGGCUGCAACUCCGACGAACAUGAGCACAAGCACCGCCGCACAAACACAAACCCACUUGGAAGGCACCGCCAUUGACACCAUUUCCUCUCUCUCUUUUUCCUCUGUUAGUAAUGUUAAUGUAGCAGAGAAAGUAAAAGGGAAAAAGCGGAGAGGAUUGAAAGAACGAGUGUCUAGUCAGAGAAAAUAGCUGCAACAAAGCGAACUUUUUA